CAGGAGCUUGCUCUUGUGGAUCAGUGGCGAACGGGUGAGUAACACGUGAGCAACCUGCCCCUGACUCUGGGAUAAGCGCUGGAAACGGCGUCUAAUACUGGAUAUGUGACGUGACCGCAUGGUCUGCGUUUGGAAAGAUUUUUCGGUUGGGGAUGGGCUCGCGGCCUAUCAGCUUGUUGGUGAGGUAAUGGCUCACCAAGGCGUCGACGGGUAGCCGGCCUGAGAGGGUGACCGGCCACACUGGGACUGAGACACGGCCCAGACUCCUACGGGAGGCAGCAGUGGGGAAUAUUGCACAAUGGGCGAAAGCCUGAUGCAGCAACGCCGCGUGAGGGAUGACGGCCUUCGGGUUGUAAACCUCUUUUAGCAGGGAAGAAGCGAAAGUGACGGUACCUGCAGAAAAAGCGCCGGCUAACUACGUGCCAGCAGCCGCGGUAAUACGUAGGGCGCAAGCGUUAUCCGGAAUUAUUGGGCGUAAAGAGCUCGUAGGCGGUUUGUCGCGUCUGCUGUGAAAUCCCGAGGCUCAACCUCGGGCCUGCAGUGGGUACGGGCAGACUAGAGUGCGGUAGGGGAGAUUGGAAUUCCUGGUGUAGCGGUGGAAUGCGCAGAUAUCAGGAGGAACACCGAUGGCGAAGGCAGAUCUCUGGGCCGUAACUGACGCUGAGGAGCGAAAGGGUGGGGAGCAAACAGGCUUAGAUACCCUGGUAGUCCACCCCGUAAACGUUGGGAACUAGUUGUGGGGUCCAUUCCACGGAUUCCGUGACGCAGCUAACGCAUUAAGUUCCCCGCCUGGGGAGUACGGCCGCAAGGCUAAAACUCAAAGGAAUUGACGGGGACCCGCACAAGCGGCGGAGCAUGCGGAUUAAUUCGAUGCAACGCGAAGAACCUUACCAAGGCUUGACAUAUACGAGAACGGGCCAGAAAUGGUCAACUCUUUGGACACUCGUAAACAGGUGGUGCAUGGUUGUCGUCAGCUCGUGUCGUGAGAUGUUGGGUUAAGUCCCGCAACGAGCGCAACCCUCGUUCUAUGUUGCCAGCACGUAAUGGUGGGAACUCAUGGGAUACUGCCGGGGUCAACUCGGAGGAAGGUGGGGAUGACGUCAAAUCAUCAUGCCCCUUAUGUCUUGGGCUUCACGCAUGCUACAAUGGCCGGUACAAAGGGCUGCAAUACCGUGAGGUGGAGCGAAUCCCAAAAAGCCGGUCCCAGUUCGGAUUGAGGUCUGCAACUCGACCUCAUGAAGUCGGAGUCGCUAGUAAUCGCAGAUCAGCAACGCUGCGGUGAAUACGUUCCCGGGUCUUGUACACACCGCCCGUCAAGUCAUGAAAGUCGGUAACACCUGAAGCCGGUGGCCUAACCCUUGG
RNAcentral lists this ribosomal RNA (1362 nucleotides) under Microbacterium paraoxydans. RNAcentral's name for it is "bacterial SSU rRNA". It matches the Rfam family "Bacterial small subunit ribosomal RNA", at positions 73 to 1445 of the family's 1533-position model. The record is from RNAcentral. Lineage: Bacteria; Bacillati; Actinomycetota; Actinomycetes; Micrococcales; Microbacteriaceae.